Physella acuta is the source of this 463-nucleotide long non-coding RNA. RefSeq lists it as uncharacterized. NCBI's taxonomy places the organism in Eukaryota, Metazoa, Mollusca, Gastropoda, Physidae. The record is from RefSeq and is a predicted model, not a curated record.
GACACAACAAAACAAACUACUUAUACAGAGAAUGCUGUUACAAUUCGCAUCUCCACAAGGAUGCUAAUUUCACGCAGACGAUAGUUACAUAACAGUUUGUAGCAGAUAGUCUGGCACUUUUGGGAUCACCAGCGUGGCGUGAAUGAAAGUUUUAGCAACGAAAAAAAGACACAUUAAGGCUUCACCAACAUCGUUCAUCAGAGCCAAACUUGAUCAAAUUUGUCUGGGUCGAACAUAGGCACAGUUCCAACAUGAGUAGAUGGAUUCUUCUUCUAGCAGUUCUGGUGGCAGUGAGUUGUUCUUCAGCAUCGGGUGCAAGACUUAGUCCCCGGCACAAGAGGAACGCCCUACAGCUGUGUCGUGCCCUCAACGUCUACACCCACAGGAGCUGCUGGGAUUACCUGGGCUACGGCUGUUUCUGUGGACUCAGGAGUGAGGGCGACAGGCCGGUGGACAGCGUAGA